AAGGGUAUAGUUCAGUGGUAGGGUGCUUGCUUAGCAUGCACAAGGUCCUGGGUUCAAUCCCCAGUACCUCCA
This 72-nucleotide transfer RNA is filed under the name Camelus bactrianus (Bactrian camel). It matches the Rfam family "tRNA". From Rfam's summary of the family: Transfer RNA (tRNA) molecules are approximately 80 nucleotides in length. Their secondary structure includes four short double-helical elements and three loops (D, anti-codon, and T loops). Further hydrogen bonds mediate the characteristic L-shaped molecular structure. tRNAs have two regions of fundamental functional importance: the anti-codon, which is responsible for specific mRNA codon recognition, and the 3' end, to which the tRNAs corresponding amino acid is attached (by aminoacyl-tRNA synthetases). tRNAs cope with the degeneracy of the genetic code in two manners: having more than one tRNA (with a specific anti-codon) for a particular amino acid; and 'wobble' base-pairing, i.e. permitting non-standard base-pairing at the 3rd anti-codon position. Lineage: Eukaryota; Metazoa; Chordata; Mammalia; Artiodactyla; Camelidae. The record is from Rfam by way of RNAcentral. RNAcentral also lists the same sequence under 1 other name.